Molecule: ribosomal RNA, 440 nt
Filed under: uncultured bacterium
Lineage: Bacteria
Description: partial 16S ribosomal RNA
Rfam family: Bacterial small subunit ribosomal RNA
Source: RNAcentral
CCUACGGGUGGCAGCAGUGGGGAAUAUUGCACAAUGGGGGAAACCCUGAUGCAGCGACGCCGCGUGAGUGAAGAAGUAUCUCGGUACGUAAAGCUCUAUCAGCAGGGAAGAAAAUGACGGUACCUGACUAAGAAGCCCCGGCUAACUACGUGCCAGCAGCCGCGGUAAUACGUAGGGGGCAAGCGUUAUCCGGAUUUACUGGGUGUAAAGGGAGCGCAGACGGCGGCGCAAGCCUGGAGUGAAAUCCCGGGGCUGAACCCCGGAACUGCUUUGGAAACUGUGCGGCUGGAGUGCAGGAGGGGUAAGCGGAAUUCCUGGUGUAGCGGUGAAAUGCGUAGAUAUCAGGAGGAACACCGGUGGCGAAGGCGGCCUACUGGACUGUAACUGACGUUAAGGCUCGAAAGCGUGGGGAGCAAACAGGAUUAGAUACCCCUGUAGUC